CCUACGGGUGGCAGCAGUGGGGAAUAUUGCACAAUGGGCGCAAGCCUGAUGCAGCCAUGCCGCGUGUGUGAAGAAGGCCUUCGGGUUGUAAAGCACUUUCAGCGGGGAGGAAGGCGGUGAGGUUAAUAACCUCAUCGAUUGACGUUACCCGCAGAAGAAGCACCGGCUAACUCCGUGCCAGCAGCCGCGGUAAUACGGAGGGUGCAAGCGUUAAUCGGAAUUACUGGGCGUAAAGCGCACGCAGGCGGUCUGUCAAGUCGGAUGUGAAAUCCCCGGGCUCAACCUGGGAACUGCAUUCGAAACUGGCAGGGUAGAGUCUUGUAGAGGGGGGUAGAAUUCCAGGUGGAGCGGGGAAAUGCGUAGAGAUCUGGAGGAAUACCGGUGGCGAAGGCGGCCCCCUGGACAAAGACUGACGCUCAGGUGCGAAAGCGUGGGGAGCAAACAGGAUUAGAUACCCCAGUAGUC
Molecule: ribosomal RNA, 465 nt
Filed under: uncultured Klebsiella sp.
Lineage: Bacteria; Pseudomonadati; Pseudomonadota; Gammaproteobacteria; Enterobacterales; Enterobacteriaceae
Description: bacterial SSU rRNA
Rfam family: Bacterial small subunit ribosomal RNA
Source: RNAcentral